RNAcentral lists this transfer RNA (71 nucleotides) under Clathrina clathrus. Its description in RNAcentral is "tRNA-Glu". It matches the Rfam family "tRNA". Rfam says of the family: Transfer RNA (tRNA) molecules are approximately 80 nucleotides in length. Their secondary structure includes four short double-helical elements and three loops (D, anti-codon, and T loops). Further hydrogen bonds mediate the characteristic L-shaped molecular structure. tRNAs have two regions of fundamental functional importance: the anti-codon, which is responsible for specific mRNA codon recognition, and the 3' end, to which the tRNAs corresponding amino acid is attached (by aminoacyl-tRNA synthetases). tRNAs cope with the degeneracy of the genetic code in two manners: having more than one tRNA (with a specific anti-codon) for a particular amino acid; and 'wobble' base-pairing, i.e. permitting non-standard base-pairing at the 3rd anti-codon position. The record is from RNAcentral. Lineage: Eukaryota; Metazoa; Porifera; Calcarea; Clathrinida; Clathrinidae.
AACCCCUUAGCUCAAUGGUAGAGUGGCAACCUUUCAAUUUGACAGUGUAGGUUCAAAUCCUGAAUGGGCUA